UUAAGAUAUUUGUUAAGAAAGUUGUUUUGUUUUCAUAUUAUUAUAAUUAUGUAUAACCUAACCUGACCUAUAUCGGUUUUUUCGUUACAAAAUAUUAGUGUUCAAUUAUUAUUUUCACACAGUUACACCGAGUAGAUAACGCCAGCGACUUGCUCUACUGGCUGUUUACCAGUUUUUGCACAAAAAAUGUAGCUAAAACAAAAUAAAUGUAUAUGUACUUGAAAAUCGCUUCCCGUCAAUAAUACACAUCGAAGAUAAACACCGACGUCGUAAUAAUUUAAAAUCGAAAAAUGAUAUUAUUGUUCAAUGUGGCCUCGUGAACGUUUAUUUAACGUGUUACCGUCGUACGGCCUCUCCGCCACUGUUGAUUCGGAUCCGGACGCUCUACGGGUCUAUAGUACUGUCUGGUCGCGGUUUGAACGAAUGAUGAUAAGCGAAACCACGUCUCGGUGGCAAUGCCGGUGCAAUUGUGUGGCAAUUACACACACUUUGGAACUACAAAUAAAAGUACAUAAUAAUAUUCUACUCGACAGUAAAAGAUUCAUAGUAGCCCCACACGGUGUCGUGUCGGAAAUUCAUUUUUAACGACGAGUGAAAUUGUUUUUGUUAUAUUCUCUACAACAAUACUAAUAUCGAGUGUAAAAUGGUCGACAAUUAUUACUGUAAAAUAUACAAGCAAUGUCAAUUUGUUUCAUCCGAAACCGUGUGGAUAGUAUAAAAUAAAACAUUAAAGGACGACAAGGCAAUAAAGGAAGUACUCGGUAAUUAGUCACUAAUUAAUAAUGCUUUAAUUUCAUUGGGGCAAAUAUCGAUAUCAAAAAAAGAACGACUUCCAGAAUGGCAUAUAUGUAAAGCAACAACACAUCUCCAGAAUAAUUGCCCAGAGAAGGAGAAAAAAUAAUUUUUAUAUAUUUUAUAAAUGUUAAAUAAA
Molecule: long non-coding RNA, 931 nt
Organism: Adelges cooleyi (spruce gall adelgid)
Lineage: Eukaryota; Metazoa; Arthropoda; Insecta; Hemiptera; Adelgidae
Exons: 4
Source: RefSeq, a predicted model, not a curated record